GGUUGUGAAAAUACUCAUUAUGAUUGGUUGUGAGUACUACAUCCUUAUAUCAUACUCAUUCAUAAAAUAUUGGUACCACCAUGAUAACAUCUGAGAAACACUGGCAAUACCUUUUAUAAACCCUCCCCGAGGAAAGUGUCGGGGAGGAGAUACUGUAACACCUUAUAAAAUCAUUUUCGAGGGAUGUUCCAGAAAGGAUAUAUGAGAUAUGUGGAUUUCAUAUGGGUUGAUGAACCCCCAUGGGUACUGCGUUG
Molecule: long non-coding RNA, 254 nt
Filed under: Capsicum annuum
Lineage: Eukaryota; Viridiplantae; Streptophyta; Magnoliopsida; Solanales; Solanaceae
Description: long non-coding RNA (CANN_LNC017586)
Source: RNAcentral